UGUAAGUUGUGUAACAAAACACGAGUCUCUAUCACUGCAUCAGCUAGAAAGCAGGGUGUCUCAGGACAAUGUUUCUUGUUGCAGAGAAAAUAGUGAGUGAGACAGUGAGUGAGUUUAGUUUUACGCCACACUCAGCAAUAUUCCA
Long non-coding RNA from Haliotis rubra (blacklip abalone), 145 nucleotides. RefSeq lists it as uncharacterized. The record is from RefSeq and is a predicted model, not a curated record. The transcript has 3 exons. NCBI's taxonomy places the organism in Eukaryota, Metazoa, Mollusca, Gastropoda, Lepetellida, Haliotidae.